Molecule: ribosomal RNA, 254 nt
Filed under: uncultured bacterium
Lineage: Bacteria
Description: partial 16S ribosomal RNA
Rfam family: Bacterial small subunit ribosomal RNA
Source: RNAcentral
UACGUAGGGGGCUAGCGUUGUCCGGAUUUAUUGGGCGUAAAGAGCUCGUAGGCGGCUCAGUAAGUCAGGUGUGAAACCUCCAGGCUCAACCUGGAGACGCCACCUGAUACUGCUGUGGCUAGAGUCCGGUAGGGGAGCGUGGAAUUCCUGGUGUAGCGGUGAAAUGCGCAGAUAUCAGGAGGAACACCAGCGGCGAAGGCGGCGCUCUGGGCCGGAACUGACGCUGAGGAGCGAAAGCGUGGGUAGCAAACAGG